This 274-nucleotide ribosomal RNA is filed under the name uncultured bacterium. RNAcentral's name for it is "partial 16S ribosomal RNA". It matches the Rfam family "Bacterial small subunit ribosomal RNA", at positions 523 to 796 of the family's 1533-position model. The record is from RNAcentral.
AUACGGAGGGUGCAAGCGUUACUCGGAAUCACUGGGCGUAAAGCGCGCGCAGGCGGCUAUUUAAGUUGGAUGGGAAAGCCUACGGCUCAACCGUAGAACUGCAUCCAAAACUAUUUAGCUAGAGUGUGGGAGAGGAAGAUGGAAUUAGUUGUGUAGGGGUAAAAUCCGUAGAGAUAACUAGGAAUACCAAAAGCGAAGGCAAUCUUCUGGAACACUACUGACGCUGAGGCGCGAAAGCGUGGGGAGCAAACAGGAUUAGAAACCCUAGUAGUCC